UACGUAGGGUGCAAGCGUUGUCCGGAAUUAUUGGGCGUAAAGAGCUCGUAGGCGGUCUGUCGCGUCGGCUGUGAAAACCCGGGGCUCAACCCCGGGCCUGCAGUCGAUACGGGCAGACUAGAGUGCGGUAGGGGAGACUGGAAUUCCUGGUGUAGCGGUGGAAUGCGCAGAUAUCGGGAGGAACACCGGUGGCGAAGGCGGGUCUCUGGGCCGUUACUGACGCUGAGGAGCGAAAGCGUGGGGAGCGAACAGG
Molecule: ribosomal RNA, 253 nt
Filed under: uncultured bacterium
Lineage: Bacteria
Description: partial 16S ribosomal RNA
Rfam family: Bacterial small subunit ribosomal RNA
Source: RNAcentral